This 1554-nucleotide ribosomal RNA is filed under the name Escherichia coli. RNAcentral describes it as "bacterial SSU rRNA". It matches the Rfam family "Bacterial small subunit ribosomal RNA". The record is from RNAcentral. Lineage: Bacteria; Pseudomonadati; Pseudomonadota; Gammaproteobacteria; Enterobacterales; Enterobacteriaceae.
AAAUUGAAGAGUUUGAUCAUGGCUCAGAUUGAACGCUGGCGGCAGGCCUAACACAUGCAAGUCGAACGGUAACAGGAAACAGCUUGCUGUUUCGCUGACGAGUGGCGGACGGGUGAGUAAUGUCUGGGAAACUGCCUGAUGGAGGGGGAUAACUACUGGAAACGGUAGCUAAUACCGCAUAACGUCGCAAGACCAAAGAGGGGGACCUUCUGGCCUCUUGCCAUCGGAUGUGCCCAGAUGGGAUUAGCUAGUAGGUGGGGUAACGGCUCACCUAGGCGACGAUCCCUAGCUGGUCUGAGAGGAUGACCAGCCACACUGGAACUGAGACACGGUCCAGACUCCUACGGGAGGCAGCAGUGGGGAAUAUUGCACAAUGGGCGCAAGCCUGAUGCAGCCAUGCCGCGUGUAUGAAGAAGGCCUUCGGGUUGUAAAGUACUUUCAGCGGGGAGGAAGGGAGUAAAGUUAAUACCUUUACUCAUUGACGUUACCCGCAGAAGAAGCACCGGCUAACUCCGUGCCAGCAGCCGCGGUAAUACGGAGGGUGCAAGCGUUAAUCGGAAUUACUGGGCGUAAAGCGCACGCAGGCGGUUUGUUAAGUCAGAUGUGAAAUCCCCGGGCUCAACCUGGGAACUGCAUCUGAUACUGGCAAGCUUGAGUCUCGUAGAGGGGGGUAGAAUUCCAGGUGUAGCGGUGAAAUGCGUAGAGAUCUGGAGGAAUACCGGUGGCGAAGGCGGCCCCCUGGACGAAGACUGACGCUCAGGUGCGAAAGCGUGGGGAGCAAACAGGAUUAGAUACCCUGGUAGUCCACGCCGUAAACGAUGUCGACUUGGAGGUUGUGCCCUUGAGGCGUGGCUUCCGGAGCUAACGCGUUAAGUCGACCGCCUGGGGAGUACGGCCGCAAGGUUAAAACUCAAAUGAAUUGACGGGGGCCCGCACAAGCGGUGGAGCAUGUGGUUUAAUUCGAUGCAACGCGAAGAACCUUACCUGGUCUUGACAUCCACAGAACUUUCCAGAGAUGGAUUGGUGCCUUCGGGAACUGUGAGACAGGUGCUGCAUGGCUGUCGUCAGCUCGUGUUGUGAAAUGUUGGGUUAAGUCCCGCAACGAGCGCAACCCUUAUCCUUUGUUGCCAGCGGUCCGGCCGGGAACUCAAAGGAGACUGCCAGUGAUAAACUGGAGGAAGGUGGGGAUGACGUCAAGUCAUCAUGGCCCUUACGACCAGGGCUACACACGUGCUACAAUGGCGCAUACAAAGAGAAGCGACCUCGCGAGAGCAAGCGGACCUCAUAAAGUGCGUCGUAGUCCGGAUUGGAGUCUGCAACUCGACUCCAUGAAGUCGGAAUCGCUAGUAAUCGUGGAUCAGAAUGCCACGGUGAAUACGUUCCCGGGCCUUGUACACACCGCCCGUCACACCAUGGGAGUGGGUUGCAAAAGAAGUAGGUAGCUUAACCUUCGGGAGGGCGCUUACCACUUUGUGAUUCAUGACUGGGGUGAAGUCGUAACAAGGUAACCGUAGGGGAACCUGCGGUUGGAUCACCUCCUUACCUUAAAGAAGC